GGGGCUGAUCUGGUUUCGACAUUUAAAAAUAACUAAUGUAUGAUUCAGGGCGAAGCUUGUAUCCUUCGUAAAAAUCUACAAAAUUUUAAAUAAAUGCUAUUAAUAUAAUUUCUUUCGUUUCUAAAGCAGUAAUUUUUAAUAUUAAAAAAAAUUAUUCAAAUUUAUUACAAUUUGCUGUUUAACUGAGUAACUAAAUUUUAUUACCUAAUUUUGUUCACUACAUCUAAUGGCUUUAAACCUUUGUAGUUUAGACUAAUUUUAUUAAACAUUUGUUCUUUGAAACUAUACCUGUGAACGAGUACAUUAGAUAUUUUUAAAUGGACAUGGGUUCAAUUCCCAUCAGUUCCAUUU
This is a non-coding RNA of Phaeodactylum tricornutum, 351 nucleotides long. NCBI's taxonomy places the organism in Eukaryota, Bacillariophyta, Bacillariophyceae, Surirellales, Neidiaceae. The record is from Rfam.